GGGGGCCCGCAAGCGGUGGAGCAUGUGGUUUAAUUCGAUGCAACGCGAAGAACCUUACCUGGCCUUGACAUCCAGAGAACUUAGCAGAGAUGCUUUGGUGCCUUCGGGAACUCUGAGACAGGUGCUGCAUGGCUGUCGUCAGCUCGUGUUGUGAAAUGUUGGGUUAAGUCCCGCAACGAGCGCAACCCUUAUCCUUUGUUGCCAGCGGGUAAUGCCGGGAACUCAAAGGAGACUGCCGGUGAUAAACCGGAGGAAGGUGGGGAUGACGUCAAGUCAUCAUGGCCCUUACGGCCAGGGCUACACACGUGCUACAAUGGCGCAUACAAAGAGAAGCGACCUCGCGAGAGCAAGCGGACCUCAUAAAGUGCGUCGUAGUCCGGAUCGGAGUCUGCAACUCGACUCCGUGAAGUCGGAAUCGCUAGUAAUCGUAGAUCAGAAUGCUACGGUGAAUACGUUCCCGGGCCUUGUACACACC
RNAcentral lists this ribosomal RNA (475 nucleotides) under uncultured bacterium. RNAcentral's name for it is "bacterial SSU rRNA". It matches the Rfam family "Bacterial small subunit ribosomal RNA", at positions 915 to 1391 of the family's 1533-position model. The record is from RNAcentral.